This is an RNA transcript of Papaver somniferum (opium poppy), 1883 nucleotides long. It is a transcript of the gene named DNA-directed RNA polymerase I subunit 1-like, with no coding region annotated. The transcript has 3 exons. Lineage: Eukaryota; Viridiplantae; Streptophyta; Magnoliopsida; Ranunculales; Papaveraceae. The record is from RefSeq and is a predicted model, not a curated record.
CCAUACCCAACUUCCCUGCCCCCAUUUUCUACCUUCCUUCUUAGUUCUUAUUCGUUCAUCCUCAUUUUUUCUUCUUCUUCUUCUUCUAAUUUGGGUUGAAUCUGCUGUGAUGCGAUGGUAGGGAAAUCGAAUUCAGGUAAUGAAGUGAGAUCCCUGCCAAAAUGCUGGAUGUUUCUUUUCAUGAAUCUAAUUGGGUUGCUGGCUUGUUCAUAAGAGGAUUAGACAUAGACCUCGAAAGGCUACAGGGAUCAUAACUGAGCUAGUUUCGAGAAUGGGCACUGCGUCAAAUCAAGGUAACCAUGUUGGAGCUUUUAGAAAUCACAAUCAAUGAUAAGAAGUACCGGCGCCUCAUGUUUUCCAAGGCAAAUAAAUUAGGAUUUAGCUGGAAAACAGACGAUGACAAGAACUACUCAUGUCGACUCUUGGUGGUGGCUGCGAAGAUGCCCUCCUAAUGAAAUUCAAUACUUAUUAAGGACAUGCCAGAGCCUCUUGAAGGGAAAAUACAUCAAGUUUGUUGAAGAAGCAGAGGGCAUCUCUACAACUCAGGAAAAAGGACUUUUUAAAGUUAAUGAAGCUCAAGUACUUUAUAAGUCUUGCUCAUCCAGGAGAACUUGUUGGUGUUCUUGCUGCUGAGUCCGUAGGAGAGCCAUCUAGCGAGAUGACGUCAGAUACAUUUCUUAUUUUUUCCUUUUUCUUUAUUUAUCAUCAUGUACGUGCAUUUCUAGUAGAUCGCGAGAUGGCAAAGUCGUCCGGAGUUGAAUAUAUUACUUAGAGACAAUGAGCUAUUGACUGAAGUUGGUUUGUUUUGCAGAUGAUUUACAUUAUAGAGGAUCACCCUUUUCCUUGAUUUCCGUUGGCAUGUUUUGAGCAUGGUGAUUAUACUAUGUUGAAACAUUGAAGUGUCUUAUUUUAUUUUAUUUUUGCAGUCUCAAUACUUUCCAUCUUGCCGGUCAAGGUGAAAUGAACAUUACUCUGGGUGUCCAUCGGUUGCAAGAAAUUAUAAUGAGGGCAUCUGGGAAAAUCCAGAAUCCUGUUAUGACCUGCCCCUUGCGGAAGGGGAAGAAGAGGUAAGUAGACACUUUAUUCAACCCUUGCUUGUCUAUCAAUAGGUUUAGGUUUUGAACUUAGAAUUUGUAGUCUGUUUCUUAUAUCACUUAAUCACUAUCUGGAGCGACUGUUUAUUUCAAUUUUGUGCACUCUUAGAUGGCUAAACUCAUUCCGUGUACGGACUUCGUUCUAGGAUUUUAAACAGCAAGCCACAACUGUUUUUAAGCUGAAGAUCAAGGUCCUUGGACCUGAACAUUUCCCACCCUCCAUGGAUAUUACACUUGAAGACUGUAUGCAGACCUUAGAUAUUUUAUUUGUAAGGGAGUUGGAAGACUCUAUAGAAAAUCAUUUGAUGAUGGUAUCCAAAGUCAGUGGAAUUACAAAUAUGGGCUGGAAUCUGAAGCUGUUAUUGAGGAAAAGAAAGAGGAAGAUAAGGAUGAUUGUGGUAAGCAAUCACAUAAUACAGGGGAAGAAACUGAUGACGAUGAAGGGGAUGCCAAUGAUAUGAAACAUUUUGGUGUUGAUGCACAUAAAAGAAAAGAACAAGCUACAACUGAGAUGGAUUAUGGCGAAGAUGGAUGGAAAUGGAGACUUCCGUCGUUGAGAAUGUAGAUGCUGAAGGCGAGGGUGAAGGCUCGGAAAGUGAAAGUGAUCAUGUUAGCAAAACUGUUUUAGUUGGACUGACAACAAAUUAGCAAGAGUGUUUUAGUUAGUAAGACUAUUUUAGUUCGAAUGACGACUCAUAACAAGUUAGUGUGUUUGCAUAAAAUUUUCUUCUGUAAAUUGUACUACUUUUUUACUUUACUUUCGCAAUGAUAAUGUUUCUUUUUUUUUCA